GGAGAAGGUGGUCGCAAGAACUCUUCCAACUUCAAAAAAGCCAAGAGAGUCAAAACUGAGGAUGAAAAAGAGAAAGACCCAGAAGAGAAGAAAGAAGUCACAGAAGAGGAGAAAACCAAGGAGGACAAGCAAGAAGCCAAAGGGGUUAAAGAGGAGGUCAAAUUGGCCUGAGCAGUCCUCUCCAGUUCUGGCUUCUUGCAAAGCGCCCCACCUUUCUCCUGUAACCCCUCAGAUUUUAUAUUUUCUAUUUCUGUGUAUUUAUAUAAAAAUAUAUUAAAUAUAAAUAUUCCCAGGGACUAGACAGGAACCAGGGCCAUGAGCCCAGGGCACACGUGCUGGGCACGCUCUUAUAAUAGCUGCCCUGUCAUCCUUCCCCAAUUCUUAAUUUUGAACCAUAAAGGGUGCCAGUUCUGGGUGGAAGGGAUUCUAUUCUCUUAAACAUCCAUAGAACAAAAUUCCGAAAUGCCAAAUUCCUGCCUAGUGGCUUUGGAAAGAUGCCCAUAUUGAGCAUUCUAGGAAUGGCUGGGUCUUCAGGAACCCCCUGUUCUUUACAGGCGCCUUAAGGUAACAGCAGCUACAUUUAGAUUGGUUCUGUUAUACCUUCCCACUGGCCCCAAGUGAGUUAAGAAACUCACACUAUCUGACCUCUGACCCCUCUCACUCCUCCAUUUUGCAGGUGGGAAUUGGUAGUUUCCUUUUUGAGAUGCUAUUUUUGGGGACUUUGUGUGUGUGUAUGUGUGUGAGAGAAUCUUUGUAAUAAAAUGGUACAUUUCUAUACCCUCCUGAGCUCA
Long non-coding RNA from Myotis brandtii (Brandt's bat), 791 nucleotides. RefSeq lists it as uncharacterized. The transcript has 2 exons. NCBI's taxonomy places the organism in Eukaryota, Metazoa, Chordata, Mammalia, Chiroptera, Vespertilionidae. The record is from RefSeq and is a predicted model, not a curated record.